AGAGUUUGAUCAUGGCUCAGGACGAACGCUGGCGGCGUGCUUAACACAUGCAAGUCGAGCGGUAAGGCCUUUCGGGGUACACGAGCGGCGAACGGGUGAGUAACACGUGGGUGAUCUGCCCUGCACUCUGGGAUAAGCUUGGGAAACUGGGUCUAAUACCGGAUAUGACCACAGCGCGCAUGUGUUGUGGUGGAAAGAUUUAUCGGUGCAGGAUGGGCCCGCGGCCUAUCAGCUUGUUGGUGGGGUAAUGGCCUACCAAGGCGACGACGGGUAGCCGACCUGAGAGGGUGACCGGCCACACUGGGACUGAGACACGGCCCAGACUCCUACGGGAGGCAGCAGUGGGGAAUAUUGCACAAUGGGCGGAAGCCUGAUGCAGCGACGCCGCGUGAGGGAUGAAGGCCUUCGGGUUGUAAACCCCUUUCAGCAGGGACGAAGCGUGAGUGACGGUACCUGCAGAAGAAGCACCGGCUAACUACGUGCCAGCAGCCGCGGUAAUACGUAGGGUGCGAGCGUUGUCCGGAAUUACUGGGCGUAAAGAGUUCGUAGGCGGUUUGUCGCGUCGUUUGUGAAAACCCGGGGCUCAACUUCGGGCUUGCAGGCGAUACGGGCAGACUUGAGUGUUUCAGGGGAGACUGGAAUUCCUGGUGUAGCGGUGAAAUGCGCAGAUAUCAGGAGGAACACCGGUGGCGAAGGCGGGUCUCUGGGAAACAACUGGCGCUGAGGAACGAAAGCGUGGGUAGCAAACAGGAUUAGAUACCCCGGUAGUCC
Molecule: ribosomal RNA, 771 nt
Filed under: uncultured bacterium
Lineage: Bacteria
Description: bacterial SSU rRNA
Rfam family: Bacterial small subunit ribosomal RNA
Source: RNAcentral